This is a long non-coding RNA of Pecten maximus, 960 nucleotides long. RefSeq lists it as uncharacterized. The record is from RefSeq and is a predicted model, not a curated record. Lineage: Eukaryota; Metazoa; Mollusca; Bivalvia; Pectinida; Pectinidae. The transcript has 4 exons.
AACAGAAAACCGAUGCCUAUCUGAGACCACUUUGAGGAGAAUAUAUGGCACCAGUGUCUCCCACACAUCCAGUUCAUGUCCUGCAAGACAGAUGUAUGCCACAAAAUGUGAAUCCUUAAGGAAUCGGAUACAGAAGGUCAUCACUGAGGCAGAUAAAAUGGUGGCUAGCACAGACUUUGCAGAACACAUUUAAUCAGCCCAAAAGGAGAGAGACCAUUAUCUGUGAAAAGGUCAUGCUGCUAUUGCAGGUGUUCAGGGUCAUCCAAAGUCUACUGUUCCUGUUCCUCCAACUUCCAUGGAACUAAACGAUGUCCACUAUACAUUUCAUUAUGCUCAAAGUGUACUUCUGUCCAGUCAUUGCAGACAGGAAGGAGCUUUGUACUUCAGGUUGUCACAAGCUAUCUGGCAUGGAGAGUGGCAGAUGGAUAUCAUGAUGACAUCCAUCCACAUUUCAUGAAGCUGUAUCAUGCCCGUUGUCUUGUUGAUGGGAUGUUUGGUAUUGCCCGAAGGAAAAUUCAACGUGGUGAUGUGGAUAGUUUGUCUGACCUGAAAAUGACCAUCGUUACUUCAUCCACACAUAACCAGGCUGAUGUAUAUAGUGAGCUGUCACCAAACUCGUGGAUCUAGAGAGACUGGAAAUAAUUUAAUUGUUUUGAAGUCUGUAUAUAGAACUGUUCCUGGUAGUGGGAAAUAUCAUCACUUUCACUUUGCUACCACUACUCCAGGAAUGGUCAGAGUAAAGAAAAGUGUUGAUGGGGAGACAACUGCUGUGAGGCUUGUGAAGAUUAUUACACAGCGUUUGCCAGUAAGACUGGAGGUAAAGGGUUUUUACAGCAGAACGUGCCUGGUACCUGUACAAAAACGUCAGGCCAUUUGUAAAGGAUCCGUCUAAGGUCCUUCUAUGUCCUCUCCACACCGUCCCAGAGCCCGCUUCUAGACCCACCCACACAGAAGAGUGAA